UUGAUUCUUCUCAUGUUCAGACAUAAAGGACUUGUGUCUUGCAUAAAGGCGGCGCCAGAAGCACCGAAGCACGUUUUUAAACGUCCACAGGUUUGAGGGGUUGAAGGUACAGAGACCAUUCGUUAAUGAUCCCUCCGCAGGUUCACCUACGGAGA
Molecule: unclassified non-coding RNA, 155 nt
Filed under: uncultured fungus
Lineage: Eukaryota; Fungi
Description: sequence contains ITS1
Source: RNAcentral